GCCUCCUGACUAACCAUAAGAGGUCAAGCCUGCCCAGUGACAUUGUUCAACGGCCGCGGUAUCCUAACCGUGCGAAGGUAGCGUAAUCACUUGUCUUUUAAAUGGGGACUAGUAUGAACGGCUUCACGAAAGCUACACUGUCUCCUUUAUUUAAUCAGUUAAACUAAUCUCCCCGUGAAGAAGCGGGGAUAUACCUAUAAGACGAGAAGACCCUAUGGAGCUUUAAACACCUUAAAACACUUGAAUUAUAUUCCCUUAACAGACUACAUUAAACCCAUCAUUUUGUUUUAAGUUUUAGGUUGGGGUGACCGCGGAGAAUAAUUUAUCCUCCACAUGGAAAUGAAGCUUCUUUCUAAGCAAAAACCUACAUCUUUAUGCAUCAAAAUAUUUGACCUUAAUUGACCCAAUUACUUGAUCAAUGAACCAAGUUACCCUAGGGAUAACAGCGCAAUCCGCUUUAAGAGCUCCUAUCGACAAGCGGGCUUACGACCUCGAUGUUGGAUCAG
This 506-nucleotide ribosomal RNA is filed under the name Allobates aff. conspicuus/subfolionidificans AR-2020. RNAcentral's name for it is "partial large subunit ribosomal RNA". It matches the Rfam family "Bacterial large subunit ribosomal RNA", at positions 1830 to 2540 of the family's 2925-position model. The record is from RNAcentral. Lineage: Eukaryota; Metazoa; Chordata; Amphibia; Anura; Aromobatidae.